GUAGGAGUUCGAUCAAAGUCUACCUGCAAUUAAAGUCAGGGGCGAAGUCUGGCUCCCUUAGGAGUCCGGACGAAGCUUACCAGCAGUCGAGGUUGAGGAUGAAGCCCGGCUCCCGUGGGAAUCCGGACGAAGCCUUCCAGCCGUUAAGGUUGGGGAUGAAGUCCGGCUCCCGUAGGAGUCUGGACGGAAUCUAUCUGCAAUCAAAGUCAGGGAU
Molecule: long non-coding RNA, 214 nt
Filed under: Elaeis guineensis (African oil palm)
Lineage: Eukaryota; Viridiplantae; Streptophyta; Magnoliopsida; Arecales; Arecaceae
Description: long non-coding RNA (EGUI_LNC082817)
Source: RNAcentral